Molecule: ribosomal RNA, 320 nt
Filed under: uncultured Prevotella sp.
Lineage: Bacteria; Pseudomonadati; Bacteroidota; Bacteroidia; Bacteroidales; Prevotellaceae
Description: partial 16S ribosomal RNA
Source: RNAcentral
GGAGUUUGGACCGUGUCUCAGUUCCAAUGUGGGGGACCUUCCUCUCAGAACCCCUAAGGAUCGUAGGCUCGGUGGGCCGUUACCCCGCCGACAAGCUAAUCAGACGCAUCCCCAUCCCAUAGCGAUCAAUCUUUGCUCCAACUUAGAUGCCUGCAUUGGAGAACAUAGGGAAUUAAUCCGACUUUCGCCGGGCUGUGCCCUACUACGGGGAAGGUUGGAUACGCGUUACUCACCCGUGCGCCGGUCGCCAUCAUAAAUAGCAAGCUAUCUAUAUGCUGCCCCUCGACUUGCAUGUGUUAAGCCUGUAGCUAGCGUUCAUC